AGUAACACGUGGUAACCUGCCCCAAGAGACUGGGAUACCACCUGGAAACAGAUGCUAAUACCGGAUAACAACACUAGACGCAUGUCUAGAGUUUGAAAGAUGGUUCUGCUAUCACUCUUGGAUGGACCUGCGGUGCAUUAGCUAGUUGGUAAGGUAACGGCUUACCAAGGCAAUGAUGCAUAGCCGAGUUGAGAGACUGAUCGGCCACAUUGGGACUGAGACACGGCCCAAACUCCUACGGGAGGCAGCAGUAGGGAAUCUUCCACAAUGGACGAAAGUCUGAUGGAGCAACGCCGCGUGAGUGAAGAAGGGUUUCGGCUCGUAAAGCUCUGUUGGUAGUGAAGAAAGAUAGAGGUAGUAACUGGCCUUUAUUUGACGGUAAUUACUUAGAAAGUCACGGCUAACUACGUGCCAGCAGCCGCGGUAAUACGUAGGUGGCAAGCGUUGUCCGGAUUUAUUGGGCGUAAAGCGAGUGCAGGCGGUUCAAUAAGUCUGAUGUGAAAGCCUUCGGCUCAACCGGAGAAUUGCAUCAGAAACUGUUGAACUUGAGUGCAGAAGAGGAGAGUGGAACUCCAUGUGUAGCGGUGGAAUGCGUAGAUAUAUGGAAGAACACCAGUGGCGAAGGCGGCUCUCUGGUCUGCAACUGACGCUGAGGCUCGAAAGCAUGGGUAGCGAACAGGAUUAGAUACCCUGGUAGUCCAUGCCGUAAACGAUGUUAACUAGUUGUUGGGAAGUAAAAUUCUCAGUAACGCAGCCAACGCGAGAAGUUAACCGCCUGGGAAGUACGGUCGCAAGACUAAAACUCAAAGGAAUUGACGGGGACCCGCACAAGCGGUGGAUGAUGUGGAUUAAUUCGAUGCAACGCGAAAAACCUUACCUACCCUUGACAUGUCAGGAAGCUCUUGUAAUGAGAGCGUGCCCGCAAGGGAGCCUGAACACAGGUGCUGUAUGGCUGUCGUCAGCUCGUGUCGUGAGAUGUUGGGUUAAGUCCCGCAACGAGCGCAACCCUUGUCACUAGUUGCUACGAAAGGGCACUCUAGUGAGACUGCCGGUGACAAACCGGAGGAAGGUGGGGAUGACGUCAAGUCCUCAUGGCCCUUAUGGGUAGGGCUUCACACGUCAUACAAUGGUCGGAACAGAGGGCAGCGAAGCCGUGAGGCGGAGCCAAUCCCAGAAAACCGAUCGUAGUCCGGAUUGCAGUCUGCAACCCGACUCCACGAAGCUGGAUUCGCUAGUAAUCGCGCAUCAGCCACGGCGCGGUGAAUACGUUCCCGGGCCUUGCACUCACCGCCCGUA
Molecule: ribosomal RNA, 1296 nt
Filed under: uncultured bacterium
Lineage: Bacteria
Description: partial 16S ribosomal RNA
Rfam family: Bacterial small subunit ribosomal RNA
Source: RNAcentral